GGCGUAGUGGCGAAGUUGGUAAACGCGGCAGUCUGCAAAACUGCUAUACGUCGGUUCAACCCCGACCUACGCCU
Molecule: transfer RNA, 74 nt
Filed under: Minisyncoccota bacterium
Lineage: Bacteria; Bacillati; Minisyncoccota
Description: tRNA-Cys
Rfam family: tRNA
About the family: Transfer RNA (tRNA) molecules are approximately 80 nucleotides in length.
Source: RNAcentral